CACAUCUCGUACGGAGCACCGGGCCGAGGCACACUGCACAGCCUCGCAGCCGAAGCCGGGGCAGCGAACCCACACCAUCGGCGCGCUGUCCGCCAUUUCAACUAACUCCGGGACCUCCGGGUCCCGUGGACAAGGAUAUGAUUAGUGCAGACUGAGAGGUUCUCAGCGGGGGAGAUCACCAUGGAUGCUGGUAGUCCAGGAGAGCUUCAUGGAGGAGGAGGAUUUGGACCAGACCUUGUCUUGGAUACUCAGUGUGUGAGUGUGUGUGUGUGUGUAAGUGCACACAUGCAUUCCAGCAGCAGAUGAGAACGUGGACAAAGCCAACAACCUCUUGGAGUGCAGGCGUCAAACCCCAAGCCCACGCGUGAUCGGCGCACAGGGAAGAGCAACUGCAGUUCCGAAGAACCCUCGGCCUCAGAAACACCCCGUGCUCCAUCUCCAUUGGCAUCUCUGGUCCCUGGGAGCCGCUCCCAAGGAUACUGCUCCACCCACCCCUGGGUGACUUACUUAAAACCUUGUGAAACCAGCUUGAAAGGACCAGAAGGCCUCAAGGCAGGUGGAGCAGGCAGUGGAAUUCCCGAGCGGCUGCCCCACCCACCGACGGGGUCUGCAAGCCCAGCCGCCAGACCGGGGACCCAUACCCAGCUCUGGAGGCCGGUGGGCAGCGCCGCUCUCUCAGCUGCGCAGCGGGGAGAAGAGACGGGGUUUCCAGUCGUGCCAGCGUCUGGGGGACACGUCCCUGCAGGUCCGACGGCGCUGCCAUAGACCUCCCCACUCGGGACGGGGUCUCACCAGCUCCACUGGAAGCUUUGGGGCUCCGUGUGCGGCUGAAAGUGCAAAGCGCUCUCCCGCCAGCUGGGAGCGCCCGCACGUGGGAGGGACACGGAGCCCGGGCGUGGGAGCGACACGGGGCCGCGCCCACCCUGACACAGUGAGUAACCACGGGAGCCACUCCCAAACACCCAACCAUCCUGGUGGUGGGCCGGCGCCCACCCGAGCCGCUGGGUGGUCAAAACCAAGCCAGCUAUCGCUGUGGCCAGCCCCCAGCAGCCUCCAGAUGCCGGCGGAGGCCACCUGAAUGUAAUCUGCGUGUCAUAUGUCCCAGCCUGGCCCCCCCGGCCCAGCCCCCUGGCCACAGCUUUGACUCUUUCCAGUUCAGAUAACAGGGUCCAGUCGUGUCCGAGACCCAGCGUUCAGUGCUGCCAGUGAGUUCUCUGUACACCUCCUGAAAUGGGAUUUUUCUCCUAGUGUUAGGGAGAAGAAAUUAAUACUUGGGUGACAUACCGCCGGCAAGAGACCGGCCAGGAGAGGAACCCAUGUCCAUCUGACUCCAAAGGUCACACUCUUCCCACUUCCUCAUUUACCACCCCCCAAAAAAGUAUAUGUUAUAAACAAACCCUGCUCUAUGUCCCCACCUCGGAAUGGGUCCCAAGUGGGUCCCAAGUUCCUCUGUGACAGAGCUCACUGGGCCUGAUCUGUUCCAGGGAAACGUGUCAAGUGUCUUGACAACAUGAGGCUGUAAGAUCCCUUGCCUCCUGGGACUCAAUAACUUCAUCCCUGUCCCAAAAUGCUGAGUCAACAACGUUCUUUGGACCCUUUGUCUUGGCAAGGUACAAUUCCCAGUCCCGAGUCAAUGGAUCGGCUGGCGUUGCCACCGGGAAGAGAGUGGCCUCCCUUUCAUGCCCUCCCCCUGUAUCUGGAAGCAGUUAGCCUGAAGCUUCUUUAACCGUGUCAUCUCCUCUGUAACAGACUGAAGGAGAGGGCAGAGGAAAUGUCCCAGAGAAGGUCUCUGGCCUUUGGGCACCCUUGUUAAUCCAGGGUCCCACUGAGCCCGUACCCCAAAGCCUCUGGCAGUGGGCCCGCACAGACUGAAAACUCCCUCUGGGUCCCUCCUGAGCCCACUGCCUAAGAACCAAGAUAGUCUUGGCCUGCAUGAAAUCAAAGUGGUUUACAUAAAAACGAGCGACACUGGCUUUGGACCCUGUAGGGCUAGAAGUCCCAACUUCAUCCAGAGUAGAAAGGUAGCUCUUACUCACUCAGCCAACAAAGGUACAUCGAGAGCUUCUUGGGAGUCGAGCAGCAUGGCAGAUUUGUCGAUUCAACGGUGAAAAACCAGCUCCGUUCUCGUGGGGUUUACAAUCAAGCGGGAGAGAGAAACAUUCAGCAAAUAGGAAUACAAAUAGAUGUGAAAUCACAAUUUGAUGAUAAUAGAAUCGUUCACGUAAUCUAAAAACCAAUGGGAACAUAACCACUCAUUUUUAAAAACACGCGUUGUAUAAUAAAAGCAUAAAAAUAUGAAUGGGGGCACCUGGGUGGCUCAGUCGGUUGGGCAUCCGACUCUUGAUUUCAGCUCAGGUCAUGAUCUCAAGGUCAUGGGAUAGAGCCCAAGUCCAGCUCCACACUCAGCAGAGAGUCUGCUUGAAGAUUCUCUCCCUCUCCCUCUGCUCCUCCUAAGGAGCAGAGCCUGCAGGAGUUGGGAGGGCCUCGGGGGUCGGCUGAUCUCGAGUGACCCAGGGAGGAGACUAUUUCAGAAAUCCAGAGACACAGGGGCUUGGCUGGGGCAGUCAGUGGGGGAUGCGGAGUGAAACGCACAGACUCAACAGAAAUUGCGGAGGUCACAUGGCAGGGCCUGGUGGUGGACCGAAUGCGGGUCUGAGGCCUUCCUGUUCAGCUGGCACAACCCGGCAGGUCAUGGGAACUGAAGUAAGCCUGCCUUCCGCAAGCAGACUCGUGGGCUGGGCUGGGUUUGGGACUUACUGAUUUCGAGGCACCUGUUCAGGUGCAAGGAAAACUGGGGUACAAGUAAGAAGGAAGGGCCCCCCCCCAAAGCUACUGGACGCUGCGACUGUUUUACUGAUUGUCGGAGAACCAAAACCCACAGCCCCAUCUGGGCCCUUCCUGCGUGACAUGGCCACGUGGCCGCGCUCACGAUCAGUGGCUGAGGGCAAAAACCUGCUUAAUCUUAUUACACUGUGAGGAUGUGUGUCCCCUGUGUACACCUGGGCAGCGUAACUGGUCCCAGCUGAGCUACGUUUGACUAACCUACUGAGGGUCCUGUCUGGUUUUUCGUCUUCCUCCUCUCCGCCACCAGGCCCGUGAGGCUCCCUCUCUACUCCUUGCGGAUCUCAGGGCCCUUUCAGCCAGACGCUGCUAUGGUCUGAAUGUCUGUGUCCCCUCCCCAGUCCCCAGAUUCUUCUGUUACAAACCUAACGCCCAGGGUGGUGGCAUAAGGAGGUGGGGCUGUGGGCGGUCGUCAGGUUCCGAGGGUGGAGCCCUCGCGAAUGGCAGUAGUGCCCCAAUAAAAGAGGCUCCAGGGGGCCUCUCACCCUUCCACCUGGUGAGGAUUCAACAAGAGCGCCUGGCCAUUCACAGCCUGGAACAGGGCCUCCGUCACACACCAAGCCGGACAGCAGCCCUGACCUUGGACUUCCGGUCUCCAGAGUGGGAGACGUGGACCUUUGUGUCCGUGGCUUUCGGUCAGAGCUGCCCGAGCUGCUCAGACUCCAGGCACACCCUGCCUUCAGCCUGGACCCAUGCUGUCCUGGGUUGGGUUGCCCCAGAAUCAGACCCCGAGGCAAGCUUACUUAGGAUGCGAUCCCAGGGAGGCUGGGAGCAGGGCAGAGAGGCAGGGAAGGGAAGGAAGCCAAGAAAAGGAACAUUGUUUUCCAAAAUUGCUGCCGUGGCAACUGCCUUUGGGGUCCAGCCCUGCUGGGGACCCUGGGAGACCGCACAGGAAUUGUCCUUGCCCACGGGGGUGAGGAAGUGGGGGCACCUCCGUGUCCCGUCCCUCCACGAGUCCAGGGUGUCCAGUCCCCCAGGCAAGUCCGUCCCAUGGAAGAAGAGCUCCCAGGUGGAGAACUGCACUCUUGCAGCGGACGGCCUUGAGAAUGUCCUGGAAUGGACAUCCAGCUGAGUGAUGAGGGCGUGCGGAUCCCACAAGAACUGUCACACUCCCGUGGCAAACAGACUCUAAGAUGGUCCGCAGACUCCCCACGUCCCAGGACCCACACCCUUAUAUAAUCCUAUACAAUCCCCCUUGCCCUGAGUGCGGGGGGAACCUGCAACCGCCAAUAGCCCCUGGAACAUGGCAAAGGCGAUUAGGUGGUAUUACUCAGGCUCCCAUUCCCGCUGCCUUUCUUUCUCCCAUGCUGGCUUUGCGGAAACAAGCUGCCAUAUUGCAAGGGGGUCCGCGGACAGACCCAGGUGGCAAGGAAGCCAGGUGGCCAGCAGCUUGUUGGGAACGAGCGUGGCCUCCGCCCUACAGUCAGCAGAGAGUGGGCCCCAGUCUCACAGCAGUAAGGAACUGAGUCCCGCCAACAGGUGAGCCCGAAAGCAGAUGCACUGCCUGUCAAGCCUCCGGAGGGAACGGAGCUGCGCGGACACUGGGAUGACCACUGGACGCAGGCGUGACUGCGCCCGCCCAGAUCCUGCCCCACAGGGUGUGCGGUAAGGGGCCGGUGUUGCUCUAAGGCUCGGAGUCUGUGGUCCCCACGGAAACCAGACGUGCUCCCUUACCCCUGAGCCUCCCACCCGAGCGAGGCAGCUUGGCCCCCUCCUCUUGUGGCCUUGACUGCAGAUCCACGGACCAGUAAUUGUGUUCAUUGAAAUAAAUGUAUUGCUUUUACCUAUUAUCCUAUGUUAAUUAAUUAAAUUUAAAUAAAAUAAA
This is a long non-coding RNA of Mirounga angustirostris (Northern elephant seal), 4666 nucleotides long. RefSeq lists it as uncharacterized. The record is from RefSeq and is a predicted model, not a curated record. Lineage: Eukaryota; Metazoa; Chordata; Mammalia; Carnivora; Phocidae. The transcript is spliced from 4 exons.